Molecule: long non-coding RNA, 335 nt
Organism: Belonocnema kinseyi
Lineage: Eukaryota; Metazoa; Arthropoda; Insecta; Hymenoptera; Cynipidae
Exons: 3
Source: RefSeq, a predicted model, not a curated record
UAGUAUCAAAGCUUUAAAACUGUCUAACUUCUAAUAGAACUCACUAAAAAUUGCAUAAUUUUACGUAAUAACAAGUUUUUCCAGUUUCUAAAACUUCCUGGGCAUUUAUGUUUCUCUGGUCUCCCAGACAUUUAGUCACCCUGAAGGCCUAAAAGCAUCUCUUGCGUCUCGAAGUGCCCACCUGUCAAUGGGAGUAGGAAAUGUUCGUCUUACUCUUUCUUCUACGUCUUGAGGCGUAUGAGGAGGUGGAUUUCCACAGAGCAUGCCCAACAUUCUCAAGAUCAGACUCUCAACAUAAUCUAAGGCGUCUUGUCGAGCUUCUAGACUAGGAUGAA